Molecule: ribosomal RNA, 497 nt
Filed under: uncultured bacterium
Lineage: Bacteria
Description: partial 16S ribosomal RNA
Rfam family: Bacterial small subunit ribosomal RNA
Source: RNAcentral
GAUGAACGCUGGCGGCGUGCCUAAUACAUGCAAGUCGAGCGAACGGACGAGAAGCUUGCUUCUCUGAUGUUAGCGGCGGACGGGUGAGUAACACGUGGAUAACCUACCUAUAAGACUGGGAUAACUUCGGGAAACCGGAGCUAAUACCGGAUGAUAUUUUGAACCGCAUGGUUCAAAAGUGAAAGACGGUCUUGCUGUCACUUAUAGAUGGAUCCGCGCUGCAUUAGCUAGUUGGUAAGGUAACGGCUUACCAAGGCAACGAUGCAUAGCCGACCUGAGAGGGUGAUCGGCCGCACUGGAACUGAGACACGGUCCAGACUCCUACGGGAGGCAGCGGUAGGGAAUCUUCCGCAAUGGGCGAAAGCCUGACGGAGCAACGCCGCGUGAGUGAUGAAGGUCUUCGGAUCGUAAAACUCUGUUAUUAGGGAAGAACAUAUGUGUAAGUAACUGUGCACAUCUUGACGGUACCUAAUCAGAAAGCCACGGCUAACUACGUG